GACGUAGGGUCCAAGCGUUGUCCGGAUUUACUGGGCGUAAAGAGCGCGUAGGCGGUCUGUUAAGUGUAGAGUGAAAUCUCCAGGGCUCAACCCGGAAACUGCUCUGCAUACUGGCAGACUGGAGUGAUGCAGAGGUUUGUGGAAUUCCUGGUGUAACGGUGAAAUGUGUUGAUAUCAGGAGGAACACCAAUGGCGAAGGCAGCACUCUGGGACGUGACUGACGCUGAGACGCGAAAGCGUGGGGAGCAAACAGG
RNAcentral lists this ribosomal RNA (254 nucleotides) under uncultured bacterium. RNAcentral's name for it is "partial 16S ribosomal RNA". It matches the Rfam family "Bacterial small subunit ribosomal RNA", at positions 524 to 776 of the family's 1533-position model. The record is from RNAcentral.